RNAcentral lists this long non-coding RNA (2312 nucleotides) under Chinchilla lanigera (long-tailed chinchilla). RNAcentral's name for it is "lncRNA (ENSCLAG00000024655.1)". Lineage: Eukaryota; Metazoa; Chordata; Mammalia; Rodentia; Chinchillidae. The record is from RNAcentral.
AGGGAAAGGGCAUUAAAAAUAUCACGCGCACGUCUGCGUGCGAUUUCACGGGCACACAUUUCCAGGACAGCGGGCUUCUCCUGGCGCCAUCCGGAGGGCAGUGGUAGGACAGUGAUUCAGCACAUAUGCGGUAAGGAGGUCGGUGCCCGCUCCACUCUGCGAUCUAACCUGCCUACCAAGCAGCAAAAGAUCAAGGGGCUGAGCUGCCGCAGCACGACACGACGCAAACCACUGGCUGCAAGCUUCUGUAACAGUCCAGCGCGGCCCUGGUGGUGUCUGUGCAGCCACAUGUAACCCCACCAGAUGUGCCAGCUGUUUGACCUCUUCGCCAGCGACAGUCCCUCUUAAGGUCUUUCAACAUUGCCGGACAAUGUGAAUUAAUGCUCUUCAAUAGGAUGUAUUGAUGGGUCAGGCACAACACAGCAUCUCUCACAUUAGAGGGAUUUCUUAGGAAGGAAGGUAGGAAGGAAGGAAGGAAGGGAGGGAGGGAAGGAGGUUGGAGGGAGGUUGGGAGGGGAGGGAGAGAGGGAAGGAGAGAGGGGAGGGAGGGAGAUAGGAAGGGGGAAGAUAGAAAGGGAGGAGUGAGGACGGAACAGAGGGAAGGAGGGAGGGAGGAACUAGAUGGAAAAACAUUAAGCUUAGUUCCUUAAACAUCGACAAGAUUUUCAAAACAAAUCCGCACAUUGCUAGUUCCAGCCACUUGUUCUAUUCUGACUCCUUCCCGUCUCCUCUACGUCCAUAUUCAGUAAGGCCAUUUGAAUGGGCCAUGUGGCUUUUGUGAAGAAAAUUUUGUAAAACUGGAUGUUUUCAGAAGUUGGGUCCUUUGAUUUCUUAUCUGGCUUGUAGCGCCAUCUCUGUUUAUUUUCUCCCAGCUCUGCCAUUAUUUUCAAAACUCCUCCGUGCUAUAAUGCAUAUGAAAUUAGCUUAACUAUAAUUAUUUUUAAUGUGCGUUUCACCAGGAAACUGUGCCAGGAGUGAAGCCCCACUUGAACCAGGGUUGAUGCAUGAAGCAGUCACUAUAAAGAAAAGAAAAAGAAUUAAGCUUGAUGCCAAAAAACACUGAAAUAAAAUUAUGUUUAUAUUUUCACAGGUGGAAAGAAAACUUCAAAAACUUAAUGUGAUCAAUUACUAUAAAACAGCACCAAAAGGAUUAUGAAAAAUAAACGUGGAUGUGCUUAUGUCCAAAAUAUUAUUCUUCCUCCCUUCUUUGCUCCUUUGCUUCCUUCCUUCCCUUUCUUUCAUUUGUUCUUUCACUUUUGUCAUGGUUAUACCGGUAAGCAAAAAAAAUAAAGAGGCUUUUCCAAUUUUGAAAAUAUGAGAAGCAAGAGCCAGGGAUAUAGCUCAGUGGCAUAAGAGCCUGCCUGGCAAGUGCAAGGUCCUGAGUUCAAAUCCCAGUACCAAAAAAAAAGAAAAUAUGAAAAGUGAGAGAAAUGAGGAGGGCCCAAACAUCCUCCUGAUGAACAUGUAAUGGAAUUGUCUCCAGUACUUGCUAAAAUACUCUUGAUUGUUUUGCCGCCAAAAAAAAAUUGGUAGCAUUGUGAUGCUGGAACCUCAACCAUGUAUGUUUGAAGUUUCAACAUACUUUUAUUAUUUAAUUUCAUUUCCAUACCUCAGCCUGUCAAAAUGGGAUGAUUUCCAAACUUUAAGAACUUUUGAGGACAUUUUAUGUAUUCUUUAAAGCUGCCAUAAUUUUUCUUAACGCUGAGUUAGGAUCACUUGUGUAAGAAAAGAGAUUCAUUCACUACAUCCUGGCCAGCAACUAGUUACUCGCUCAUCAAACCGUUUUCCCUUUCUUCCCAAGUACACUGCUACACACCAGCUCAAGGAUACCCUUCCACCUGGACAGUCUUGGGAUUAGGCCUUGGGCAAAGAAAUAUGAGUAGAAAUGAUGCAGGCCACUUCCGGCCUGCACCCAUAACACCCUCCCCCGACAAUUUUUUCUCUCUCUUCCCACCUCAUACCCUCUGAACAGAGAACUUUAAGGAUCCAAGGAGGCUCCAAGAGCCUAAGUUGCUAUUUGGAGGAGAGUCGCCCAGUAGACUCAGGCAACUAGGCUAAAACCAUAAUAUGAACGACACACUUCUCAUUUUAUUUUUAAGUCCACAUUUGAAAUUUUGAAACUCUGUUAAGCAUCUUAAAAUUCUUCCAAAGCCCAUUUAAAGUUUCCUUUCUCUUCUGGGAAGGAAUGUACCUAAAUUUCCCCGGAAAGAUGAGAAAGUUAGUCCCAGUUAAUUUUGCCCUAUGCCAACUAACACACUAGUCUGAGAAAACUGGUGCUAUUCUAAAGAUCUGCACAAACGUGGGCUGGAGUG